RNAcentral lists this unclassified non-coding RNA (1412 nucleotides) under Hevea brasiliensis (rubber tree). The record is from RNAcentral. Lineage: Eukaryota; Viridiplantae; Streptophyta; Magnoliopsida; Malpighiales; Euphorbiaceae.
CAAAGGUUUUCAAUCCGUUGAUCAAAGGCGAUUUGAUACUGUCUACUACUUGUUGCAACUUCAAUGCCUUCAGUAAUUUCGCCUCAGUGGCAAGAGAAAGCUAGUGGAUUCUUUCAAUCUUCGGGGGUGAAGUUGAAAGAAGCUGGGCAGUCUGCAGGAUCAUUUGUUGGUGAGGUUGCGAAAGAUGCAAAGGGAAAUGUUGGCGAGGUUGCUGAGAAAGUUGGAUCAGUAGUCAAAAGUCGAUGGUCGCUCCUGCAGCAGCCAUCAACAAGACAUGCCAUGCAGGAGCGCUUUAUCUCUGCGGCUGCUACAACCAGCUUCUUCUUGAGGAAGGGGUUUUUGGAGACAAAAGAUAAGGUUGCUGUUGGAAAGACAAAAGUUGAGGAGGUGGCAAAGAAAACUGCACAGAAAAGCAAGACUUUGCUGACUGAUAUAGAGCGGUGGCAGAAGGGAGUUGCCAGCACUGAUGUGUUUGGAGUCCCCAUCGAUAUCCUUGUGCAGAGGCAGCAAUCAACUAGAUCCGUUCCUUUUAUCAUGGUGAAAUGUGCAGAUUAUCUUGUCUUAUCAGGGCUGAAUUCACCUGAGCUAUUCAAGGCUGAAGGGGAUAAAAAGGUCAUACAUCAAUUGGUUUCUUACUACAAUCAAGAUCAAAAUGCACCAAUACCUGAGGGGGUAAAUCCGGUAGAUAUUGCAGCUCUGAUGAAGUGCUACCUUGCAAGUCUACCUGAGCCAUUGACAACCUUCGAGCUUUAUAAUGAAAUAAGAGGUGCUCGCUCAAGCAUACACGCAAUGAAGAAUACCUUAAAGAAGAUUCCAACUGUCAACUACAUGACACUGGAAUUGAUUACCGCGCUGCUACUCCGCGUAAGCCAGAAAUCUCUGGUUAACAAGAUGGAUGCUAGAACUCUUGCAACAGAAAUGGCUCCAAUCCUUAUUUGGCAAAGAGGACAGAGUCCACACCAGUAUGACCAGUUCUGGAACCAUUCAGCAAAAUCUUCUAAGAAAUAUAUGGACUCCAACUCUAACUCUAGUGCAUGGGAGAUGCUUGAAGAUGAAGAUGAAAAUGUUGAUGCAUCUUCUCCCAUCCCGUUGGAUGAUGGAUUGCCAAUUGACUUGGGUGCUAUUGAUGCCAUUCAAUGCUUAAUCGAACAUCAUAAUGCCAUAUUUACCGAUGCGAAUGAGACUGUUUGGCGAUAGUAUUGCAUCAGACUCUCAGAUUGGAUAUAUUGCACAGAUAGAAUGUCUUUAUCCCUGGUGAACAUCAGAAAAAAGUUUGGAACUCUUUUACCAUCAUACUUGAUUUUCUCAUAACAUUUAGGAGUUUGUAACCGUGGCUAUGUAAAUUUUUGAUUGGGAUAGGCAUGCAUAGGUUCAGAACUUGUGUUUAUAGCUCAGUUUUUUUUGUUAUGGGG